UUUUCUGGGGAUUAAAUUUUUUAUUCUAAAUUCAAUGGAUUUGGCGGUUUUUAAAUUUUUUAGAGGAACCUGUGGUUUAAAUGAUAAUCCACGAUUUUUUUUACCUUCAUUUUCUUGUAUAUCUCUGUCGUUGAAUAUGAUGAUAGUUUAUUUUCUUUUUUUUUAUUUAAUUUAUGUUAGGUCAAGGUGCAGUUUUGUGUGGGUUGUUAUGGGUUACAUUAAUUUUUGUUUGUGGAUUUUUUUUAUAUAAUAAAGUUGAAUUUGGAUUUAAAAGUAAUUUUUUUUUUUAAAUUUUUUGAAUUUUGUUCUUAAUUAUGU
RNAcentral lists this ribosomal RNA (318 nucleotides) under Bootheca taurus. RNAcentral's name for it is "partial small subunit ribosomal RNA". The record is from RNAcentral. Lineage: Eukaryota; Metazoa; Arthropoda; Insecta; Hemiptera; Issidae.